UGGAGUUGAUGGCCCAGCGUGGUGGCU
RNAcentral lists this non-coding RNA (27 nucleotides) under Homo sapiens (human). The record is from RNAcentral. Lineage: Eukaryota; Metazoa; Chordata; Mammalia; Primates; Hominidae.